AUGCUUCAGAUACCUUCGCUGAAGAUGCGUACACUGUUGAUCCGGUGCUUGGUUGAGAUAUUUGAUCCUAGCAAGGGCAGAUUCAUUGUACAUGACUUGGUUGGCGAAGUGUCUCUCGGUGCCGUGGAUGUUGAGUGCAUCUUGGCCUUGGAGAACCACGCACUGUCGGCAGAAGGUAUUCUCGGUGAGGAAGGUGAGGAUGUUAAAGAUCGAGUGCCGCCUCAAUUCCUGAGCAAGACCACAGGUAACAUAGUCAUCGAUGAUCUGAUUGUGGACAUCACAAAAAAUAAAUCUGCCGACGACGAUUUCCUUCGGAGAGUUGUCCUCCUGUUGCUUGGAACAGUUCUUGCUCCCAUGUCGAGCAAGACUGUACCAAAGCAAUAUUACGCAUUGGUGGACGAUGUGAAGCAUAUAUCCAAGAUUAAUUGGAAUGCAUUCACCCUCCGGGUUCUGCUGGACUGCCUUCGCAACGUGAGGAAAGGCAAACACCUUCGCCAAUGGCCGAGAGGGAACAUAGCUCUCCUGCAGGUACACCUUUCAUGUAGUACCUGUACUGGGAGAAGGUUCAGCCUCUGGAAGGUGAAUGCGCAUUCAAUCCUAGCUUGUCCAUGGAACCUCUAA
Molecule: ribosomal RNA, 621 nt
Filed under: Triticum aestivum (bread wheat)
Lineage: Eukaryota; Viridiplantae; Streptophyta; Magnoliopsida; Poales; Poaceae
Description: partial small subunit ribosomal RNA
Source: RNAcentral